CCCCAUCUGCCACCGGGUAGAUGGAGAAAAGUGUCCAGCCGUAUUCCGGUAGGUCUUAGAAGGAAUACGGCUGGAUAUUUUUGUUUG
This 87-nucleotide non-coding RNA is filed under the name unclassified sequences. The record is from RNAcentral.